This 75-nucleotide transfer RNA is filed under the name SAR116 cluster bacterium. Its description in RNAcentral is "tRNA-Gln". It matches the Rfam family "tRNA". Rfam says of the family: Transfer RNA (tRNA) molecules are approximately 80 nucleotides in length. Their secondary structure includes four short double-helical elements and three loops (D, anti-codon, and T loops). Lineage: Bacteria; Pseudomonadati; Pseudomonadota; Alphaproteobacteria; Puniceispirillales (SeqCode). The record is from RNAcentral. RNAcentral also lists the same sequence under 1 other name.
UGGGGCGUGGCCAAGUGGUAAGGCAGCAGGUUUUGAUCCUGUGUACCGUAGGUUCGAAUCCUACCGCCCCAGCCA